GGGUUUUGGUUGUUUUUAUUAUAACUUAGAAAAUUAAAUGUAUACUUACAGAGUAGUUACUACGUACCAUCAGCAAGGAUAUGAAUUCCAUAGAUAUGAAUAAAAGAAACUUUGAUUUUCUAAUAGAGACUUAGUCCCAAUCAAUAUUCCUAAGGACUUUAAUUUUCCUUUUUUUCUUUAGAAAGAAAACGUUUUUUUCCAUUUUGUUUUAUUUCUUUUCAGUGUUCCAGAAUUCAUUGUUUAUGCACCACACCCAGUGCUCCAUGCGAUAUGUGCCCUCCACAAAGGAACUGCCACAAAAUGCAAUCUUCUGAAGAAAUGGAACCAUAAAAAUAACCAAAGUCAAAUAGUUGCAACACUGAAAAUCUCACCACAAAGUCAUCAGAAGAAAUGCAAAAGACCACCUCUUCUUUCAAAAUAAGCUUAAGCACCUUGUAUAGUAGUAGAGCUUACAAAAAAUUAAGUAAAUAAAUAAUGGAUGAACACUAACACCGCUGGGCAUUCAAUGCUGUCAUUUAAGUCUUGGAACAUUUGCAAGUGUUUAUUUGCAAACAUGUGCUUCUGGGCGUUCACAUAUCC
This 579-nucleotide long non-coding RNA is filed under the name Mustela putorius furo (domestic ferret). Its description in RNAcentral is "lncRNA (ENSMPUG00000029205.1)". The record is from RNAcentral. Lineage: Eukaryota; Metazoa; Chordata; Mammalia; Carnivora; Mustelidae.